UUGUCAACUAUGGGCUGUGGGAUCAGGUCAGAGUCGACCACGGCAAGGAAUUCUACUUGUCACUUUUUAUACAGGAAAUCCUUGCACCCUAUAGACACAAUCAAGACAAACCACCAUAUUGUCAAACAACAUCAAUAAAGAAUAAUAAAGUUGAGCGACUCUGGCCUGAGAUAAACAGCAGGGUCAAUUACCCUUUAAAGGAAGCUCUGAUCCAUCUGACUGACCAAGAACUCCUUGACAUGGACUGUAACAUCAGCAGAUAUUGUGUGUCUAACUUGACAGGCCAACUGUGCAAGAUUGAAAUAAAAAGAGUUGUGGAGGCCUGGAAUGAACAUAGAAUCCCUGGAAAAGGAAUCCCAAAUCAACUAGCAGGAGGUGGAUGUCCAAAAAAAGUCUCAGAAGUGUUACUGCCUCAUGCAUCUGAAGCAGCCAACCUUUACAAUGAGGAACUAAGAAGCACCUUAACAACUGACUCAUCAUUUGGAACAGACCCUUUCACAUACGAAGAACAGAAGGCUACUGUUGAACGGGUUUUCACCGAAACUUACCCUGACAUAGCAGAGUUGCUAAACAGCACAGUCAACAAAAAUCAUUCCCCUUUUAAAGAUGCAGUGCUCUAUCUUAUAAACUUAACUAAAAGGCACAUGCAGUAAUCUUAUGUAUAUAACAAAGAAAAAAGUUAUAUAUUCCUGUUCUAGGGUCUCAUUGAACACUGAGAACACAGUAUAAUAAACAAUUUAACAAAUAGGCUACUUAACCUAAAAGUGUGGUCUAUAGAUGCAGCACCUAAUCCACAUU
Non-coding RNA from Paramormyrops kingsleyae, 798 nucleotides. The record is from RefSeq and is a predicted model, not a curated record. NCBI's taxonomy places the organism in Eukaryota, Metazoa, Chordata, Actinopteri, Osteoglossiformes, Mormyridae.